Molecule: small RNA, 27 nt
Filed under: Bombyx mori (domestic silkworm)
Lineage: Eukaryota; Metazoa; Arthropoda; Insecta; Lepidoptera; Bombycidae
Description: ovarian small RNA-4078
Source: RNAcentral
UUCUGACGAGAGUAAAUCUGGUGUGGA